This 723-nucleotide ribosomal RNA is filed under the name Triticum aestivum (bread wheat). Its description in RNAcentral is "partial small subunit ribosomal RNA". Lineage: Eukaryota; Viridiplantae; Streptophyta; Magnoliopsida; Poales; Poaceae. The record is from RNAcentral.
AUGUCAGUUUCGUUAUUACAACCUUAUUUUUUUAUGUCAAAGACAAAAAGCUACGCGCAAAUUCUCAUUGGAUCUCGGUUGUUCUUAACAGCGAUGGCUAUUCAUUUAAGUCUUCGGGUAGCACCACCAGAUCUUCAACAAGGUGGAAAUUCUCGUAUUUCGUAUGUACAUGUUCCUGCGGCUCGGAUGAGUAUAGUUAUUUAUAUCGCGACAGCUAUAAACAGUUCCUUGUUCCCAUUAACAAAACAUCCCCUUUUUCUUCGCUCUUCCGGAACCGGUACAGAAAUUGGUGCUUUUUCUACUUUGUUUACGUUAGUGACUGGGGGGUUUCGGGGAAGGCCUAUGUGGGGUACCUUUCGGGUGUGGGAUGCUCGUUUAACUUCUGUAUUCAUCUUGUUCCUUAUUUACCCGGGUGCACUGCGUUUUCAAAAGCUUCCUGUCGAACCGGCUCCUAUUUCAAUCCGUGUUGGACCGAUCGAUAUACCAAUAAUAAAGUCUCCAGUCAACUGGUGGAAUACAUCGCAUCAACCUGGGAGCAUUAGCCGAUCUGGUACAUCAAUACAUGUUCCUAUGCCCAUUCCAAUCUUGUCUAACUUUGCUAACUUCCCCUUCUCUACCCGUAUCUUGUUCGUUCUGGAAACACGUCUUCCUAUUCCAUCUUUUCCCGAAUCUCCCUUAACGGAAGAAAUAGAAGCUCGAGAAGGAAUACCACUAAAAACCUAG